RNAcentral lists this ribosomal RNA (206 nucleotides) under uncultured Deferrisoma sp. RNAcentral describes it as "partial 16S ribosomal RNA". It matches the Rfam family "Bacterial small subunit ribosomal RNA", at positions 487 to 690 of the family's 1533-position model. The record is from RNAcentral. Lineage: Bacteria; Pseudomonadati; Thermodesulfobacteriota; Deferrisomatia; Deferrisomatales; Deferrisomataceae.
GAAGCACCGGCUAACUCCGUGCCAGCAGCCGCGGUAAUACGGAGGGUGCAAGCGUUGUUCGGAAUCACUGGGCGUAAAGGGAGCGUAGGCGGACCGUGCAAGUCUGAUGUGAAAGCCCGGGGCUCAACCCCGGAAGUGCAUUGGAAACUGCAUCGGCUUGAGUUCGGGAGAGGAGGGCAGAAUUCCCGGUGUAGGGGUGAAAUCCG